This 50-nucleotide ribosomal RNA is filed under the name Boehmeria longispica. RNAcentral's name for it is "partial 28S ribosomal RNA". Lineage: Eukaryota; Viridiplantae; Streptophyta; Magnoliopsida; Rosales; Urticaceae. The record is from RNAcentral.
CAUCGCUGGACCCCCAGUGAUGCGCGCCCUCUAAGCGACCCCAGGUCAGG